RNAcentral lists this ribosomal RNA (253 nucleotides) under uncultured bacterium. RNAcentral's name for it is "partial 16S ribosomal RNA". It matches the Rfam family "Bacterial small subunit ribosomal RNA", at positions 524 to 776 of the family's 1533-position model. The record is from RNAcentral.
UACGUAGGGUGCAAGCGUUACUCGGAAUUACUGGGCGUAAAGCGUGCGCAGGCGGCUUUGCAAGCCAGAUGUGAAAUCCCCGGGCUUAACCUGGGAACUGCAUUUGUGACUGCAUGGCUAGAGUGCGGCAGAGGGGGAUGGAAUUCCGCGUGUAGCAGUGAAAUGCGUAGAUAUCUGGAGGAACACCGGUGGCGAAGGCGGCAUCCUGGACCAAUUCUGACGCUGAGGAGCGAAAGCCAGGGGAGCAAACGGG